CAGCAGGCGCGCAAAUUACCCACUCCCGGCACGGGGAGGUAGUGACGAAAAAUAACGAUACGGGACUCAUCCGAGGCCCCGUAAUCGGAAUGAGUACACUCUAAACCCUUUAACGAGUAUCCAUUGGAGGGCAAGUCUGGUGCCAGCAGCCGCGGUAAUUCCAGCUCCAAUAGCGUAUAUUAAAGUUGUUGCGGUUAAAAAGCUCGUAGUUGGACUUGUGUCCCACGCUGUCGGUUCACCGUUCGUCGGUGUUAACUGGCAUGCCUGUGUGGACGUCCUGCCGGUGGAUGCGGUCGGCCGCGGGCCUCUGGUCUGCGUGUCGGCGGUCCGAUGCAAUCCUACCGCGGUGCUCUUCACCGAGUGUCGAGGUGGGCCGGCACGUUUACUUUGAACAAAUUAGAGUGCUCAAAGCAGGCAGUGGUUCGCCUGAAUAUUGUGUGCAUGGAAUAAUGGAAUAGGACCUCGGUUCUAUUUUGUUGGUUUUCGGAACCUGAGGUAAUGAUUAAUAGGGACAGACGGGGGCAUUCGUAUUGCGACGUUAGAGGUGAAAUUCUUGGAUCGUCGCAAGACGAACCUAAGCGAAAGCAUUUGCCAUGAGUGUUUUCACUAAUCAAGAACGAAAGUUAGAGGUUCGAAGGCGAUCAGAUACCGCCCUAGUUCUAACCAUAAACGAUGCCAGCUAGCGAUCCGCCGAAGUUCCUCCGAUGACUCGGCGGGCAGCUUCCGGGAAACCAAAGCUUUUGGGUUCCGGGGGAAGUAUGGUUGCAAAGCUGAAACUUAAAGGAAUUGACGGAAGGGCACCACCAGGAGUGGAGCCUGCGGCUUAAUUUGACUCAACACGGGAAACCUCACCAGGCCCGGACACCGGAAGGAUUGACAGAUUGAUAGCUCUUUCUUGAUUCGGUGGGGUGGGUGGUGCAUGG
RNAcentral lists this ribosomal RNA (923 nucleotides) under Candovia sp. E AC-2020. RNAcentral describes it as "SSU rRNA". It matches the Rfam family "Eukaryotic small subunit ribosomal RNA", at positions 426 to 1287 of the family's 1831-position model. The record is from RNAcentral. Lineage: Eukaryota; Metazoa; Arthropoda; Insecta; Phasmatodea; Lonchodidae.